UAUUUUAUUGAACGUGUAAUCAUUAAUUAUCAUUUUAUACAAACUUGCACUCAAUCUCUUUCUUCCACUUUUUUUAAUUAUCUCCUUAAUUCUCUAAACCACCAUAAACCCCUCAAUCCCCACAAAUCUCUCAACCAAAUUAAAUUUAAAUUUUGAAAAUUUGAAAUUAAUUCUUGUUCAAUUCAAUUUCAGUUCUUCAACCAAAAAUUGUAAUAGAUUGGAAUAGUAAUCCCUACUAGCGUAGUCAAGGAGGAACACUCCGUCAAAGAGAAUUACUAUAGGUUCUAUUGUCAAAUCUAAAAAAAAUUACAAGAAACAUCUUCUAGUAAAACAAACUCAAAAACGAGUGGAGAAGAUGAUUAUGUUGCAAGGGACAAGUAGGAAGCAAAAGAUUUUGAGGUACCCUAUUUUUGAUUUUUUCUUCGAUUUGUAUAUGGACAAUUUAACUUGUAUAUCAAACAAUAGAUGAAUUAUUAGUUCAGUAAUUUGUAUAUAUUACAUUAUUAAGUAUCAGUAGAUGUAUAAAUAAUCAUGUGUUAUUGUAAUGUUAAAGAUAUACAAAUCGAACUGAGUUAGUUAUAUAAAUAUAAUUAUUUACUUAAAGAAGUUAAUGAUGUUUAUUAGGGAGUCCAAUUUAUAGUCAAUGAAGGUCCAAGAGAAGCCCCAAGCAUUAUAUGUUAUACGAAUGUGGACGUAAUGGAGGAUCUGGCCGAAAAAACUUUCAGAAGAUCAACUAAAGUGCUUUUGUGAAAUAGAAUAUUUUGCUCAGUUCAAGCAUAACAAAUUGCGUAAAAUCCGUAGAAUACAUAAAUUUUUGUAUAAACAUAACGAUGGUAUAAAAUUAAUAUAAUGUAUAAUGUACGCAUU
This is a long non-coding RNA of Solanum lycopersicum (tomato), 867 nucleotides long. RefSeq lists it as uncharacterized. The record is from RefSeq and is a predicted model, not a curated record. Lineage: Eukaryota; Viridiplantae; Streptophyta; Magnoliopsida; Solanales; Solanaceae.